This 253-nucleotide ribosomal RNA is filed under the name uncultured bacterium. RNAcentral describes it as "partial 16S ribosomal RNA". It matches the Rfam family "Bacterial small subunit ribosomal RNA", at positions 524 to 776 of the family's 1533-position model. The record is from RNAcentral.
UACGUAGGGUGCAAGCGUUAAUUGGAAUUACUGGGCGUAAAGCGUGCGCAGGCGGCUUUGCAAGACAGAUGUGAAAUCCCCGGGCUUAACCUGGGAACUGCAUUUGUGACUGCAUGGCUGGAGUGCGGCAGAGGGGGAUGGAAUUCCUGGUGUAGCGGUGAAAUGCGCAGAUAUCAGGAGGAACACCCGUGGCGAAAGCGGCUCUCUGGGACGGUACUGACGCUGAGACGCGAAAGCGUGGGGAGCAAACAGG